AGGUGGACUCUAUAAUGCAGUCGAGCGACAGACGAGGAGCUUGCUCCUCUGACGUUAGCGGCGGACGGGUGAGUAACACGUGGAUAACCUACCUAUAAGACUGGGAUAACUUCGGGAAACCGGAGCUAAUACCGGAUAAUAUAUUGAACCGCAUGGUUCAAUAGUGAAAGACGGUUUUGCUGUCACUUAUAGAUGGAUCCGCGCCGCAUUAGCUAGUUGGUAAGGUAACGGCUUACCAAGGCAACGAUGCGUAGCCGACCUGAGAGGGUGAUCGGCCACACUGGAACUGAGACACGGUCCAGACUCCUACGGGAGGCAGCAGUAGGGAAUCUUCCGCAAUGGGCGAAAGCCUGACGGAGCAACGCCGCGUGAGUGAUGAAGGUCUUCGGAUCGUAAAACUCUGUUAUUAGGGAAGAACAAAUGUGUAAGUAACUAUGCACGUCUUGACGGUACCUAAUCAGAAAGCCACGGCUAACUACGUGCCAGCAGCCGCGGUAAUACGUAGGUGGCAAGCGUUAUCCGGAAUUAUUGGGCGUAAAGCGCGCGUAGGCGGUUUUUUAAGUCUGAUGUGAAAGCCCACGGCUCAACCGUGGAGGGUCAUUGGAAACUGGAAAACUUGAGUGCAGAAGAGGAAAGUGGAAUUCCAUGUGUAGCGGUGAAAUGCGCAGAGAUAUGGAGGAACACCAGUGGCGAAGGCGACUUUCUGGUCUGUAACUGACGCUGAUGUGCGAAAGCGUGGGGAUCAAACAGGAUUAGAUACCCUGGUAGUCCACGCCGUAAACGAUGAGUGCUAAGUGUUAGGGGGUUUCCGCCCCUUAGUGCUGCAGCUAACGCAUUAAGCACUCCGCCUGGGGAGUACGACCGCAAGGUUGAAACUCAAAGGAAUUGACGGGGACCCGCACAAGCGGUGGAGCAUGUGGGUUUAAUUCGAAGCAACGCGAGAACCCUUACCAAAUCUUGACAUCCUCUGA
Molecule: ribosomal RNA, 971 nt
Filed under: Staphylococcus sp.
Lineage: Bacteria; Bacillati; Bacillota; Bacilli; Caryophanales; Staphylococcaceae
Description: bacterial SSU rRNA
Rfam family: Bacterial small subunit ribosomal RNA
Source: RNAcentral